UAGGGAAUCUUCCGCAAUGGGCGAAAGCCUGACGGAGCAACGCCGCGUGAGUGAAGAGGGAUUUCGGUUCGUAAAGCUCUGUUGUUAGGGAAGAAUGAUUGUGUAGUAACUAUACACAGUAGAGACGGUACCUAACCAGAAAGCCACGGCUAACUACGUGCCAGCAGCCGCGGUAAUACGUAGGUGGCAAGCGUUGUCCGGAAUUAUUGGGCGUAAAGCGCGCGCAGGUGGUUUAAUAAGUCUGAUGUGAAAGCCCACGGCUCAACCGUGGAGGGUCAUUGGAAACUGUUAAACUUGAGUGCAGGAGAGAAAAGUGGAAUUCCUAGUGUAGCGGUGAAAUGCGUAGAGAUUAGGAGGAACACCAGUGGCGAAGGCGGCUUUUUGGCCUGUAACUGACACUGAGGCGCGAAAGCGUGGGGAGCAAACAGGAUUAGAUACCCUGGUAGUCCACGCCGUAAACGAUGAGUGCUAAGUGUUGGUCUCAUAAGAGAUCAGUGCUGCAGCUAACGCAUUAAGCACUCCGCCUGGGGAGUACGACCGCAAGGUUG
RNAcentral lists this ribosomal RNA (548 nucleotides) under uncultured bacterium. Its description in RNAcentral is "bacterial SSU rRNA". It matches the Rfam family "Bacterial small subunit ribosomal RNA", at positions 355 to 896 of the family's 1533-position model. The record is from RNAcentral.